This 254-nucleotide ribosomal RNA is filed under the name uncultured bacterium. Its description in RNAcentral is "partial 16S ribosomal RNA". It matches the Rfam family "Bacterial small subunit ribosomal RNA", at positions 524 to 776 of the family's 1533-position model. The record is from RNAcentral.
UACGGGGGGAGCAAGCGUUGUUCGGAUUUACUGGGCGUAAAGGGCGCGUAGGCGGCCACCGCAAGUCGACUGUGAAAUCUCCGGGCUUAACCCGGAAAGGUCAGCCGAUACUGCGGGGCUAGAGUGCAGAAGGGGCAACUGGAAUUCUCGGUGUAGCGGUGAAAUGCGUAGAUAUCGAGAGGAACACCUGCGGCGAAGGCGGGUUGCUGGGCUGACACUGACGCUGAGGCGCGAAAGCUGGGGGAGCAAACCGG